GUUCCUGUACCUUUAAGGCUCCUGACCGUGUGUGAAUCCAGCCACAUUUGUUUCGGCACCAACCAUGCAAUCCUGACGUCAGGACUUGCAGAGUCUCCUAGUUAGAGGCUGACGUGAGCGAUCAGAGAGAGAGAGAGAGAGAAAGAGAGAUAGAGCGCUUGAACAUGGCCACUGUAACCAACGGAGUGCAGCUAGACAACAGCAGCAGCGGCAGCAGCCGGAUGAACGGCUUAAGCCACGGCAGUCAAAACACCAUCCCAAUGAAAGACCACGACGCCAUCAAGCUGUUCAUCGGCCAGAUCCCCCGCAAUCUGGAGGAGAAAGACCUAAAGCCGCUGUUCGAGGAAUUUGGGAAGAUCUAUGAACUGACUGUGCUGAAGGAUCGUUUCACCGGUAUGCACAAAGGUUGUGCCUUCCUCACAUACUGUGCCAGAGAUUCAGCUCUUAAAGCUCAGAGUGCUUUGCACGAGCAGAAAACAUUACCAGGGAUGAACCGCCCAAUUCAGGUGAAGCCUGCAGACAGCGAAGGCCGAGGAGAAGAUAGAAAGCUCUUUGUGGGCAUGCUGGGAAAACAGCAAACAGAGGAUGACGUCAGGAGACUAUUUGAAUCCUUUGGCUCCAUUGAAGAGUGUACCAUUCUUAGAGGACCUGAUGGAACCAGCAAAGGCUGUGCAUUUGUAAAAUAUUCUUCUCAUGCUGAAGCCCAAGCAGCUAUUAACAGCCUGCACGGAAGCCAGACUAUGCCAGGGGCAUCGUCCAGCCUGGUGGUAAAAUUUGCAGACACAGAUAAGGAACGCACUCUGCGACGCAUGCACCAGAUGGCAGGGCAGCUUGGCAUCUUUAAUCCGAUGGCAAUCCAGUUUGGCGCAUAUGGAGCGUACACUCAAGCGUUGAUGCAGCAACAAGCGGCUCUAAUGGCGGCAGCGCAGGGCACCUACUUGAAUCCGAUGGCUGCUAUUGCGGCGGCUCAGAUGCAGCAGAUGGCAGCUUUCAAUGUGAAUGGGCUGGUUGCAACGCCAAUGACACCGUCAUCAGGCACCAGUACCCCUCCUGGCAUCAAUGCAGCAGCUGUACCCAGCAUAGCUACCCCCAUUGGAGUCAAUGGGUUUAGCGCCAUGCCACCACAGACUAAUGGGCAACCAGCAUCUGAUACUAUUUAUGCCAAUGGCAUUCACCCGUAUCCAGCACAAAGUCCAACAGUGGCCGAUCCCUUACAGCAAGCUUACGCAGGCAUGCAACACUAUACAGGUUCUCCUGCUCCAUGCUCCAUUCCCCAAUUAAGAGUGCAGCCAGCGGCCUAUCCAGCAGCUUAUGCUCCCAUUAGUCAGGCGUUUCCACAGCAACCUCCCAUAAUUCCUCAGCAGCAAAGAGAAGGGCCAGAGGGAUGCAAUCUGUUCAUCUACCAUCUGCCACAGGAGUUCGGGGAUGCUGAGCUCAUGCAGAUGUUCAUGCCUUUUGGCAAUGUGAUCUCUGCCAAAGUCUUUGUUGACCGUGCCACCAACCAAAGUAAAUGCUUCGGGUUUGUGAGUUUUGACAAUCCUACCAGUGCUCAGGCUGCCAUUCAGGCAAUGAACGGCUUUCAGAUUGGGAUGAAGAGGCUAAAAGUACAACUGAAACGACCAAAAGACGCUAACCGACCAUACUGACCUUCCCACCGCUCCUAAACAGGCAGGGCCUAAUCAUAGCUCCAGAUGACCACAAGUCAUUCUCAAACUCUGUGAUGUAACCUAGCGACUCUAACAGUCAUGGGGGAGACAUUUCCCAACCCGAUGGAAGCAUCACCGCAUUCAGUGAUUCUUUGUCACAAGUACAGUCUGAAAACUAUGACUCUUUUAUUUUGCUCUGUAUCACUGUGGAAGACAACAGAUUAGAUUUCAAAGGGGGAGACACUUCAGGAGCGACUGGGGGGGGUGGGGGGGAACCAAAAAGGAAGAAAGUUGGAUGGAAACAAAAAAAAAACAAAAACACAAAAAAAAUGAUGACAAAAAAUAUCAUAUUCGCACUGGAACUGUGAUGAGGACGUUGUGACACACCAUGACUGAAUUAAUCCACAAGUACUGAAUAACUGUUUUUCAGAGGAUUAAAUGGUAAAUACUGACUUUUAAGAAAAAAAACCAAAGCCAGCUGGAAAAGUUUGUGUGCCUACAGCCAACAUGACACAUCCUUGCUUCUGAAACAGGAAGAA
RNA transcript from Stegostoma tigrinum, 2185 nucleotides. It is a transcript of the gene named CUGBP Elav-like family member 6, with no coding region annotated. The record is from RefSeq and is a predicted model, not a curated record. The transcript is spliced from 15 exons. NCBI's taxonomy places the organism in Eukaryota, Metazoa, Chordata, Chondrichthyes, Orectolobiformes, Stegostomatidae.